This 253-nucleotide unclassified non-coding RNA is filed under the name uncultured Caryophanales bacterium. RNAcentral's name for it is "uncultured Bacillales bacterium contains 16S-23S intergenic spacer region". It matches the Rfam family "Bacterial small subunit ribosomal RNA", at positions 524 to 776 of the family's 1533-position model. The record is from RNAcentral. Lineage: Bacteria; Bacillati; Bacillota; Bacilli; Caryophanales.
UACGUAGGGGGCAAGCGUUGUCCGGAAUUAUUGGGCGUAAAGCGCGCGCAGGCGGUUUCUUAAGUCUGAUGUGAAAGCCCACGGCUCAACCGUGGAGGGUCAUUGGAAACUGGGAGACUUGAGGACAGAAGAGGAGAGCGGUAUUCCACGUGUAGCGGUGAAAUGCGUAGAGAUGUGGAGGAACACCAGUGGCGAAGGCGACUUUCUGGUCUGUAACUGACGCUGAGGUGCGAAAGCGUGGGGAGCAAACAGA